Molecule: unclassified non-coding RNA, 364 nt
Filed under: uncultured Helotiales
Lineage: Eukaryota; Fungi; Ascomycota; Leotiomycetes; Helotiales
Description: sequence contains ITS2
Rfam family: 5.8S ribosomal RNA (bases 1-154)
Source: RNAcentral
AACCUUUAGCAAUGGAUCACUUGGUUCUGGCAUCGAUGAAGAACGCAGCGAAAUGCGAUAAGUAAUGUGAAUUGCAGAAUUCAGUGAAUCAUCGAAUCUUUGAACGCACAUUGCGCCCCGUGGUAUUCCGCGGGGCAUGCCUGUUCGAGCGUCAUUUAAACCAAUCCAGCUUGCUGGGUCUUGGGCUUUCGCCUCCGGGCGGGCCUUAAAAUCAGUGGCGGUGCCAUCCGGCUCUAAGCGUAGUAAUUCUUCUCGCUACAGAGUCCCGGGUGGAGGCUUGCCAGCUAACCCCUAAUUUUCAAAGGUUGACCUCGGAUCAGGUAGGGAUACCCGCUGAACUUAAGCAUAUCAAUAAGCGGAGGCU